Non-coding RNA from Rattus norvegicus (Norway rat), 57 nucleotides. Lineage: Eukaryota; Metazoa; Chordata; Mammalia; Rodentia; Muridae. The record is from Rfam.
UAGCUCAGUGGUAGAGCGCUUGCCUAGCAAGCGCAAGGCCCUGGGUUCGAUCCCCAG